RNAcentral lists this unclassified non-coding RNA (269 nucleotides) under plant metagenome. RNAcentral's name for it is "partial contains small subunit ribosomal RNA, internal transcribed spacer 1, and 5.8S ribosomal RNA". The record is from RNAcentral.
UAUCCGUAGGUGAACCUGCGGAGGGAUCAUUAAUGAGUUGUCAUGGGGUUCGAUGCUGGCAGCCAAUUUUUGGAUGCAUGUGCUCGCCCUAACAAUCAUCUUCCAAACACCUGUGCACAUUUUUGAGGGAGUCUUGAGUUGGUUGCCGCUCUUGGGUGAUUUUCUCACAUUCCCUUAAAUCAUUAUACGCUAUUAACAAUGUUGAUCGUGCUCUGUGCCGCAAGGCUAUUAAUAUAAUACAACUUUUAACAACGGAUCUCUUGGCUCUC